GAAACAAUGGUUCAGUGGUAGAAUACCGAGCAUAAUUCGGUGAUGAGGGUUCGAUUCCUUCUUGUUUUUCUU
Molecule: transfer RNA, 72 nt
Filed under: Caudoviricetes sp.
Lineage: Duplodnaviria; Heunggongvirae; Uroviricota; Caudoviricetes
Description: tRNA-Tyr
Rfam family: tRNA
About the family: Transfer RNA (tRNA) molecules are approximately 80 nucleotides in length. Their secondary structure includes four short double-helical elements and three loops (D, anti-codon, and T loops).
Source: RNAcentral